This 1399-nucleotide long non-coding RNA is filed under the name Ananas comosus (pineapple). RNAcentral's name for it is "long non-coding RNA (ACOM_LNC040831)". The record is from RNAcentral. Lineage: Eukaryota; Viridiplantae; Streptophyta; Magnoliopsida; Poales; Bromeliaceae.
UAGAUUUUUUGGUCCGUUUUGGGUUCCCCCUAUCCUUCUCCGUUGUCGUCAUGGGCAGCCGUCGUUACUUCGGUGUUUGCCAGGACGAUUGCGGAGUGGUCCUAUCGCUGUCUCCGCCGUGGCAUCGCGGGGUUGAUGUGUACGAUCGCAGCAGUCUCUUCUCCUUUGCUGCGUGGGGUGGCGGGCCUGCACGACAACAUGGCCUCUAGCAACUCGCGGGCCGUGCGCGCGCUGCUGUAGAUGGCUGUGAUCCCACGUGGCCUUCAGCAACUCACCGACCCGGGUGGGAUGUGCCCGGCAGUGUAGAUGGUUGAGGGGAUUUGCCCGGAUUUGACAGGGUUUAUGGGUUCCUGAUUUGACUUUGGGUUAUCUCUUUUUUUCUCCCUUUUUCCUCCUCAAACUGAUCUGCUCCUCUGUCUGAUUUUUUUCUAUAAAUAGCACCUUUUCUCUUGGUCUACUUCUUACGUUUUUUCCUUCUUUAGUCUCCUGUUCUGUUAGCUCUUGGUAGUUCUAUUAGUUUUGGUUCUUUGGCCUGCUGCGCCUGGUAGCGUGAGGUGUGGAAGUGGCAUUUUAUCCCUGCCUCCAUAUGGUUUUUAUUGGCCCUUUCAUUCCCUUCAUGUAUACUGAUCUUUUUACCAUUCUCUGCUUCUUGCUGCAUGUGGGUAUACAUCGUUUGUCGUGUUGGUAGGCGGGUUGGCGCUGUUGCCUGUAGAGAACAAAUAUAGGUAUGUCUAUUUUGUUGAUGUUUAUUUACUUGUGAUGUUUGCCGUGCUGCGUGCUAACUAGUUGCUUUUUAUUUAUGCAUGUUUAUUUACUUUUUGGCGAAAUGGUGGUAUCGAAAUGGUGGGAGUUCUUUUGUUGCUUCUAUGUUGGCAGAUGGUUUACUAGCUUACAAGAUAAUAUACAACUAGUUGUUCCCUAUUUAUUAAUUUUUUAGUAGGUUGAGCUGUGUAUUGAUUGCAUGCUUUUGACGUUUAGUGACUGAUUUGGGUGCUAUGGUAGUUUUUACGAUUUGUUUCCGUGAAUUACUUCGCGAUGUACGCCAGCACUAUUCUCUGUCGAUGUCGAUGUAUGGCAUCCUGGUUGAGAAUGAAGAAUGUACGAUUAGAAUUUAUCCUGAGGUUGAGUUAGCUAGAGGAGAUACUGUGACAGAGGCUGUGAGGUGUUGGAGCGCGUCGUGUCCUAAUAUUGAUCAAGUUGAAGAAGAUGCUGCGCGACGAUCUGUCGGAAAGCUAUGUGAUGAGUUGUGCUUUUGAUGUUAGGGAUUAACUGCUAAAGUUUGGAAUCUCACCCAAAUCUAACAUCUAGAAAAAUUUUAUAAAAAAAACAAAAGUUCAAAUGUCACGCCCCGAGCCCGAUCCUUUUGGCCGGUUCAAGAGCGUCAAACAGACGCCGAACG